UGUCCCCCAUUGUCCGUUAUAAAACAACUCCAGUCGACCAUCGGGACCUAACCCAGUGGUGCCAGAACUAUUCACAAGUCUCAAAUCUUCAUCUAAAAACGAUCACAAUUAUGAAUUCCAAUAGAAUUGUGUGGGCAGUCAUCUAGUCUAGUUUCAGAUCCAAAGCAACCAAGCUCGUCCAACCAUAUCGGUGUGGAUGCUGACACUGUUAGGGCACUAUCGUAAAAAUAUCGACCUCCAGUCUGCCAAUUCUGGUAUCUGUUGAACCAGACGAAUCUAUCAGCCUCACAUCUCCACUCAAUUGUCCUGAGGGCACGAAAUGAAGAAUUAUUGCCACUCACGGCUAGAAUCCAUAACAUAUUAAUUGAUGUCUCUGAUUCUCUAGCUCACAGCUGGCUUGUUAUAAUUAUGUCUUAUUAGUCAGUGUGCAGCUGAUAUUGGCUCAUAAUAGUGGCCAGUCAGUAUUCCCCACAUAACUGUGGUAACUAACAAUUAGGGACGAAAGGUGUGAGUUAAUUAUGAGUAUAGGCCAGUCAGUUAUUCCCCCCUCACACCAUUACUGAAAAACAUGAUACCUACAUAACUGUGGUAGCUUACAAUUAC
Long non-coding RNA from Halichondria panicea, 603 nucleotides. RefSeq lists it as uncharacterized. NCBI's taxonomy places the organism in Eukaryota, Metazoa, Porifera, Demospongiae, Suberitida, Halichondriidae. The transcript has 3 exons. The record is from RefSeq and is a predicted model, not a curated record.